CCUACGGGUGGCAGCAGUGAGGAAUAUUGGUCAAUGGGCGAGAGCCUGAACCAGCCAAGCCGCGUGAGGGAAGACGGUCCUAUGGGUCGUAAACCUCUUUUGUCGGGGAACAAAGCCCGGGACGUGUCCCGGAUUGCGUGUACCCGAAGAAUAAGCAUCGGCUAACUCCGUGCCAGCAGCCGCGGUAAUACGGAGGAUGCGAGCGUUAUCCGGAUUUAUUGGGUUUAAAGGGUGCGAAGGCGGUCUGUUAAGUCAGCGGUAAAAUUGCGGGGCUCAACCCCGUAGUGCCGUUGAAACUGGGAGUCUUGAGUUUGCGAGAAGGAGGCGGAAUGCGCGGUGUAGCGGUGAAAUGCAUAGAUAUCGCGCAGAACUCCGAUUGCGAAGGCAGCAUGCCGGCGCCAGACUGACGCUGAGGCACGAAAGCGUGGGGAUCGAACAGGAUUAGAUACCCGGGUAGUC
Molecule: ribosomal RNA, 459 nt
Filed under: uncultured bacterium
Lineage: Bacteria
Description: partial 16S ribosomal RNA
Rfam family: Bacterial small subunit ribosomal RNA
Source: RNAcentral